This 394-nucleotide long non-coding RNA is filed under the name Setaria viridis. RNAcentral's name for it is "long non-coding RNA (SVIR_LNC004334)". Lineage: Eukaryota; Viridiplantae; Streptophyta; Magnoliopsida; Poales; Poaceae. The record is from RNAcentral.
AUACUUGAGGGAUGAAAAAUACACUUUUUCUUCCUACUAUUGGUAAUGCACUUUUUUUCAUCUCCUCCAGCAGAUUGCUAAUAUCUCAUCACCAAUACUUUGUUGCUGGGCCGAAAGCUAUAUGAGACAGCCCAUCUAUGCCCCGUAUCUCUCUUUUCCCCUCUUUUUUUUCUUCCUCACGGUAUGAAAGCCACCUGCAAUGCAAUUUUUGUGUGCUCCUUCCAUUUUCUCCAUGAGCAGAGCUGCAGAUCAACAGCUAUUCCAUCCUUCCUCCAAAUUAAAGUACCAGAUCAACAAAUCCUCCCUCUCCAGCUUCCUGCCUUCCAAGAACAGCGGCUCCUUAAUCUCUUUCGAGCACACCAGCAAUUAUAGGUCCUGAUUGGAACGACUUAAA